GGAGAGUUGUCCGAGUGGCCGAAGGAGCAUGAUUGGAAAUCAUGUGUACGUGAUUCGCGUACCUAGGGUUCAAAUCCCUAACUCUCCGCCA
This 91-nucleotide transfer RNA is filed under the name Candidatus Gallacutalibacter stercoravium. Its description in RNAcentral is "tRNA-Ser". It matches the Rfam family "tRNA". From Rfam's summary of the family: Transfer RNA (tRNA) molecules are approximately 80 nucleotides in length. Their secondary structure includes four short double-helical elements and three loops (D, anti-codon, and T loops). Further hydrogen bonds mediate the characteristic L-shaped molecular structure. tRNAs have two regions of fundamental functional importance: the anti-codon, which is responsible for specific mRNA codon recognition, and the 3' end, to which the tRNAs corresponding amino acid is attached (by aminoacyl-tRNA synthetases). tRNAs cope with the degeneracy of the genetic code in two manners: having more than one tRNA (with a specific anti-codon) for a particular amino acid; and 'wobble' base-pairing, i.e. permitting non-standard base-pairing at the 3rd anti-codon position. Lineage: Bacteria; Bacillati; Bacillota; Clostridia; Eubacteriales. The record is from RNAcentral.